This 516-nucleotide ribosomal RNA is filed under the name uncultured Glomus. RNAcentral's name for it is "SSU rRNA". It matches the Rfam family "Eukaryotic small subunit ribosomal RNA", at positions 569 to 1082 of the family's 1831-position model. Lineage: Eukaryota; Fungi; Glomeromycota; Glomeromycetes; Glomerales; Glomeraceae. The record is from RNAcentral.
AGCAGCCGCGGUAAUUCCAGCUCCAAUAGCGUAUAUUAAAGUUGUUGCAGUUAAAAAAGCUCGUAGUUGAAUUUCGGGGUUAGUAGGUUGGUCAUGCCUCUGGUAUGUACUGAUCUCACUGAUUCCUCCCUCUUGACGAACUGUAAUGUCAUUAAUUUGGUGUUGCAGGAAAUCAGGACUGUUACUUUGAAAAAAUUAGAGUGUUUAAAGCAGGCUAAGGCUUGAAUACAUUAGCAUGGAAUAGUGAAAUAGGACGUUUGAUCCUAUUUUGUUGGCUUCUAGGAUUGACGUAAUGAUUAAUAGGGAUAGUUGGGGGCAUUAGUAUUCAAUUGUCAGAGGUGAAAUUUCUUGGAUUUAUUGAAGACUAACUACUGCGAAAGCAUUUGUCAAGGAUGUUUUCAUUAAUCAAGAACGAAAGUUAGGGGAUCGAAGACGAUCAGAUACCGUCGUAGUCUUAACCAUAAACUAUGCCGACUAGGGAUCGGAUGAUGUUAAUUUUUUAAUUGUACUCUAUCC